This 133-nucleotide ribosomal RNA is filed under the name Symbiodinium sp. DayabayZS. RNAcentral's name for it is "partial 18S ribosomal RNA". The record is from RNAcentral. Lineage: Eukaryota; Dinophyceae; Suessiales; Symbiodiniaceae.
CCUCCGCUUAUUGAUAUGCUUAAAUUCAGCGGGUUCACUUGUCUGACUUCAUGCUAGAGGCAUGCACCUGCAUCCCAGCAGUUGCAAGCAUGAGCAGCGUCACUCAAGUAAAACCGGGAAGGUAGAAACUUGA